RNA transcript from Zingiber officinale, 2177 nucleotides. RefSeq lists it as uncharacterized. The transcript has 3 exons. Lineage: Eukaryota; Viridiplantae; Streptophyta; Magnoliopsida; Zingiberales; Zingiberaceae. The record is from RefSeq and is a predicted model, not a curated record.
UUCUUUUUUUCGGAUAGCCCAACCCCCAGCUGUCCAAGCCUCUUCUCCACUUGAGCCUCAUCUUCGCACGAGUCUCUUCUCCACACGAGCGUCUUCUCCGCUCCUCUUCUUCCCCACCCGCCUAAGCCUCCUCCAUUCUUCUCCUCCUCUCGGUCGCGCCCCUUUCUUCUCGCCCCUUUUUCUCGAUGCCUAUUUCUCCUCAUCCUCCCUUCUCAGUCAUCCAAGCUGUUGCCAUCGAAAUUGUUCUCCCCUUCCUCCUCCCUUUCUUCUCCCCCCUUCCCCUUCUCUUCCUCCUUCCAAUCGAAGCUGCUCCCAACCAAAGCUACUGUCAUCGAAGCUUCCUCCUCCCAACUGAAGCUGCUGCCAUCGAAGUUGCUUCUCCCGCUUCCUCCUCCUCCUCCUCCUCCUGCCUUUCUUCUUCUCCCUUGUCUUCCUCUCUCUAUCGAAGCUUCCUCCUCCUAACCAAAGUUGCUGCCAUCAAAAGAAACUACAAUCUGGACUUGUGUAAUGGAAGCAAAGCCCCGAGAAUCACUACUUUUAGAGGCACUACCGCUUGAGCCAGAGUUAGAACUACUAUAAAAUUCUGAAGAUGCCACAUCCACUUGUUUAGAACUUUUAGGUACUUCUCAGCAUUGCAAGGUUAGUAUUCUUAGUAAUCUUUUAGAAAAUUUUAUGGAGGUACCUGUAAUUGAUUUUGUUGGAUGUGAUUUAAUUUUUGAUACAUACUCAGUUCAUUCUAAUAUGAUUUUAGUUCUUUUUUAUAUUACAUGCUCGUGGGAGGUGUGCCUUUCUUUUAGGUGUGUAGGUUUUCAUGAGGUCAAUAAUUGGAAGCUCAAUCUAAACCGUCUCUGACCAUUGGAAAGAACUUUCAAGGAGAUGAAGAUGAAGAGCGGUGAUACACUACAUUGCUCUUAUGAUGAUAGCUCUCUUCAUAAUAAUAUGGGUCAUUGGAAGAAAAGUCCAGAAAUUUCUCACUUCGACAAGAUCACGAUUUUGAUGAGCCUAAUAAGGGGUCAAGAUAAUAACCUUAAACAAGCGCUUCUUGGGAGGCAACCCAAGUUUCAAAGUUAUGGAGGAAUGUGAGCAUUAGAUAGAGGAGUAUUUCCAAGCAUAUGGCGUAGCCUUGGAGCUAAUCACUUGGUAUGAAAGUGCACAAGGAUAAUUUAUUGAUCCAUAUCCAUCUUACCAGAAUUCAUAUGGGUUUCAAGAGGUUUCAACAUCUUCUUUGUCACAUCCUUUUCAACAGAACGAACCUCAGAUGGAUGAGUUAACAUGGAAACUCAGGGAGAUUAUGCAACAAAUGAGUGAGCAUCAAGAGCAACAAUUUUCAAGAAUACAGAAUAUACAAAGUCAAUUGGAUCAAAUUGCAUCAUCCAUCAACCAGUUACAAACACAAAGCGUCAGUGAAGAGAUGGAUUGUGGAGAUCUUGUCAGGCCUGACACUACAUCUACUUCUUCACUAGAUUCUUUAAGUACUUUUUAUUGUUGUGAUGAUGUAGUUGAUCAUACUUUUUAUUCUACUGAUAUGGUUGCUUUAGAUGUUGGAAAUGAUGCAGGUAUUGUUGUUGAAGAUGAUUUAAGUGUAGGGGAUAUGCUUACUGGAAGCAUUACCUCAAGAAUCACCAAGAAUUGAGGAUAUAAGUGUAAGAACUUGUGCUAUGGAGCCAAGCACCCAAGAAUCACUACACGAAGUUUAACAUUCAUUAGAAUGAGAGCUUGAGCAUUUACUUGAUGAGGAAGAGGUAACAAUCACCACUACAGGUACCUUUCAACAGAACAAGGUCAGUAUUUCUUGUGAUACAUCAGAAAAUUUAAUAGAGGUACCAAUUAUUGACUUUAUUAGAUGUGAUUCAUUACUUGAUAAAUUUUCUACCCACAUUAAUAUUCUCCUAUUUUCUUCUUAUUCCAUACGCAUAUGGGAGGUGUUUUGCUUUGUUGAUUUUGUAGGAGAACAUAAGCUCCCAGAGUGGAUGCUUGAACUGAACCGCCUCCGUCCUCCAGAAAGACUUUUGAAAGGAAAAAUGAACAAUAAAAUAAUUUUAGUGGAACCACAAUGACACCUCUACUGGUGUGGAUUUUGUUGCUAAAUCUUCUUCGACCACCGGAAUUAAAGGGGAGUUGGUUCCAAUUUCGUUUUCUUAUGCAUUUUAAUUCGUGCUUUGUUAAUAAAUUCUUUG